GACAGAGGGUGCAAACGUUGUUCGGAAUUACUGGGCGUAAAGCGCGUGUAGGCGGCGUGGCAAGUCGGGCGUGAAAGCCCACGGCUCAACCGUGGAAGAGCACUCGAAACUGCCGCGCUAGAGUUCUGGAGAGGAAGGCGGAAUGCUUGGUGUAGAGGUGAAAUUCGUAGAUAUCAAGCGGAACACCGGUGGCGAAGGCGGCCUUCUGGACAGUGACUGACGCUGAAACGCGAAAGCGUGGGGAGCAAACAGG
This 253-nucleotide ribosomal RNA is filed under the name uncultured bacterium. RNAcentral's name for it is "partial 16S ribosomal RNA". It matches the Rfam family "Bacterial small subunit ribosomal RNA", at positions 524 to 776 of the family's 1533-position model. The record is from RNAcentral.